RNAcentral lists this long non-coding RNA (204 nucleotides) under Vigna radiata. RNAcentral's name for it is "long non-coding RNA (VRAD_LNC011911)". Lineage: Eukaryota; Viridiplantae; Streptophyta; Magnoliopsida; Fabales; Fabaceae. The record is from RNAcentral.
GAUGAUUUUUCUAGGUGGACUUAGGUCCUAUUUCUAACUCAUAAGGAUGAGGCUUUUAACGCUUUUUGCGAACUCUUAAAAAGGAUAAAGAUUGAAAAAGAAUUUGAAAAUUAUAUCCAUGGAGGAGAAUUUGAAAGUGAGCUUUUGAAAAGCUUUUGCAAAAACUCUAGCAUUAAACACAAUUUUUCAACUCCUAAGACUCCG